CCAGAACAUCAGGUCUUAGUCCAAUCUAGAAGACAGGAACUAGUUUUACUAGAUAACGAGAUCGUUUUCAAUGAGGCCAUCAUCGAGGAGAGAGACCAGGGCAUACAAGAUGUGCAAAGCCAGAUAGGCGAGGUGAACGAGAUCUUCAAAGAUCUUGCUGUCCUGGUGCAUGACCAAGGAGCUAUGAUCGAUGAUAUCGAUACCCACAUCGAGAAUUCCCAUGCAGCGACCUCACAGGGAAAGACCCAACUGAUCAAAGCAUCCAAAACCCAGAAAUCUAAUUCAUCUUUGGCAUGCUUGCUCUUGGUUAUUUUCGGGAUUGUUCUUCUCAUCGUCAUCAUAAUCUUUGCAGCUUGAUAUCGGAAGAUGCUGAAAU
Molecule: unclassified non-coding RNA, 376 nt
Filed under: Hevea brasiliensis (rubber tree)
Lineage: Eukaryota; Viridiplantae; Streptophyta; Magnoliopsida; Malpighiales; Euphorbiaceae
Source: RNAcentral